UACGAAGGGGGCUAGCGUUGCUCGGAAUUACUGGGCGUAAAGCGCACGUAGGCAGUCUUUUAAGUCAGGGGUGAAAUCCUGGAGCUCAACUCCAGAACUGCCUUUGAUACUGAGGAUCUUGAGUUCGGGAGAGGUGAGUGGAACUGCGAGUGUAGAGGUGAAAUUCGUAGAUAUCUGGAGGAAUACCGGUGGCGAAGGCGGCAUCCUGGACCGACAUUGACGCUGAACGGCGAAAGCUAGGGGAGCAAACGGG
This 253-nucleotide ribosomal RNA is filed under the name uncultured bacterium. RNAcentral describes it as "partial 16S ribosomal RNA". It matches the Rfam family "Bacterial small subunit ribosomal RNA", at positions 524 to 776 of the family's 1533-position model. The record is from RNAcentral.